Molecule: transfer RNA, 73 nt
Filed under: Stegodyphus mimosarum
Lineage: Eukaryota; Metazoa; Arthropoda; Arachnida; Araneae; Eresidae
Rfam family: tRNA
About the family: Transfer RNA (tRNA) molecules are approximately 80 nucleotides in length.
Source: Rfam by way of RNAcentral
GCCUUCGUGGUGUAGUGGCCAGCACGCUCGACCUGUAACCGAGAGGCCCGCCGUUCGAUUCCUGGAGAAGGCG